This 230-nucleotide ribosomal RNA is filed under the name uncultured bacterium. Its description in RNAcentral is "partial 16S ribosomal RNA". It matches the Rfam family "Bacterial small subunit ribosomal RNA", at positions 28 to 258 of the family's 1533-position model. The record is from RNAcentral.
GACGAACGCUGGCGGCGUGCUUAACACAUGCAAGUCGAGCGGUAAGGCCCUUUCGGGGGUACACGAGCGGCGAACGGGUGAGUAACACGUGGGUGACCUGCCUCUAGCUCUGGGAUAAGCCCGGGAAACUGGGUCUAAUACUGGAUAUGACUCCAUGACGCAUGUUGUGGGGUGGAAAGCCUUGUGCGGCUAGAGAUGGGGCCCGCGGCCUAUCAGCUUGUUGGGGGGGU